Bubalus bubalis (water buffalo) is the source of this 1256-nucleotide long non-coding RNA. RefSeq lists it as uncharacterized. The record is from RefSeq and is a predicted model, not a curated record. The transcript is spliced from 4 exons. Lineage: Eukaryota; Metazoa; Chordata; Mammalia; Artiodactyla; Bovidae.
GCUCCGACUCCCGUGAGUACCUGCACGAGGUCACACCUGAGGAGACCCUGAAGAGAUGGCAAAGGAUGAGCAGGCCGCUCCUGAAAAGAUGUUGACCCUGGAGGAAUUUCAGGGGAACAACUGUUGUUUUUUAGUAUUACCUCCUGAAAAUAUGAUUUCAGUCACUGCAAAGGCAUCCAACACAACGGAAACUGCGGGGAGGAGGACAGUGGAAACAUCCGGUAUUUUACCGCUAGGAGAGUUUUGAAUGGGCUUUCUGCUAGUAUCUCAGAGUUGUGGUUUUGUCUGAGGACAGUAUGUACUAAAAAAUCUCCAUUUGUUCACUGGACCUGAGCAGAACUCCUAAAUCAAGAAAGAAAAUUUCAAGAGAACCAUUCAAAUAUUGGAAAUGACUAUGAGCAGUAAAAACUGAUUCCUCCUUUUUAUGAAGACGCCAGUCAGAAUGAAGUUGGAUGCACCCUAAUGACCUCAACUUAACUAAACUUCGUCUGCAAAGACCAAUUUUCAAAUAAGGUCAGUUCUGAGCAGCUGGAAGUUAGAACUUCAAAAUAUGAGUGGGGGUGGGCACAGCUCAACCCAUAAUAAAGACUAAGUCCUAGAUCUGGGCAAUGCCUAUCAGGGAGGCUUUUUCCAGGAAGAUAGCUCCAUUCAACUCCCAUAAGUUCCAGAAAUUAAGAAAAGAGUUUCUGAGAGCAUCCAAGAGAACAAGCAGUUACUUGUAGGGAGAAUGAAGCGUUUGGGAAGGAGGUAAUUCCUGUGUGUGGCCUGGAAGAUUGGUCAGAUUUAGCUACCUAAAAAUGACGGUGGCAUUUAGGAAAUGACUGUUAGAAGAGCACAGUGGAGCACAGGAAGCAGGGAGCUGUCGCAGAGCUGUGUUGUGCUGCAAUAAAUUCUGGUUGAGAGGGGUUGUCAUGGUAUGGAAAGAAAAGAAGGCUUUGAGAGAGCCUCUGUCAUGGAGAUGCAGAGUGGCUCGCUGGGUAUGAUUAAAGAAUGAAAUGCGAAACAUGGUGAGGCAUUUGGGAAGAGACGCUUUCCUGUCAGAGUUCCCCUUCACCCCCUACCUGCAAGCAUGCAUAACGUUAUGAAGGGCUUCAUCACUCUUUUAGGGACACUGUGGAGAUAUUUGUUAUUAACAUGGGUAAUUAUAUGAGCAGAGGAGAUAAAGUAGGACGUUCUCUCUAGUGAUCAGAAUAUAUGUACAUAAGAAAAGAAAACAUACUUAGGUCUGAAAUAUUUAAGCUAGAGAGCUAUGUCAC